ACGACACUUUGAGCUCGAGGCUCAUUAGCAUCUCGGGCGCGAAUACAUUAGCAUGGGAUAAUGGAAUAGGACCCUGUCCUCCUAUUUUCAGUUGGUUUUGGCAGCGCGAGGACUAGGGUAAUGAUUAAUAGGGAUAGUUGGGGGCAUUAAUAUUUAAUUGUCAGAGGUGAAAUUCUUGGAUUUAUGAAAGAUUAACUUCUGCGAAAGCAUCUGCCAAGGAUGUUUUCAUUAAUCAAGAACGAAAGUUAGGGGAUCGAAGACGAUCAGAUACCGUCGUAGUCUUAACCAUAAACGAUGCCGACCAGCGAUUAGGAGACGUUGAAUACAAAACACCACCAUCGGUUGCGGUCGUCCUUGGCGUCUCGGUUUCGGCCGGGGCGCGGGGACGGUUUAGCCCGGUGGCACCGGUGAAUGACUCCCCUAGCAGCUUGUGAGAA
Molecule: ribosomal RNA, 437 nt
Filed under: Acanthamoeba castellanii
Lineage: Eukaryota; Discosea; Longamoebia; Acanthamoebidae
Description: SSU rRNA
Rfam family: Eukaryotic small subunit ribosomal RNA
Source: RNAcentral